UGUGUUGUGGCUCAGUGGUAGAGUGCUCGCCUCGCACGUACGAGACCCUGGGUUCGAUCCUCGGCACCACAU
Molecule: transfer RNA, 72 nt
Filed under: Ictidomys tridecemlineatus (thirteen-lined ground squirrel)
Lineage: Eukaryota; Metazoa; Chordata; Mammalia; Rodentia; Sciuridae
Description: Spermophilus tridecemlineatus (thirteen-lined ground squirrel) tRNA
Rfam family: tRNA
About the family: Transfer RNA (tRNA) molecules are approximately 80 nucleotides in length. Their secondary structure includes four short double-helical elements and three loops (D, anti-codon, and T loops). Further hydrogen bonds mediate the characteristic L-shaped molecular structure. tRNAs have two regions of fundamental functional importance: the anti-codon, which is responsible for specific mRNA codon recognition, and the 3' end, to which the tRNAs corresponding amino acid is attached (by aminoacyl-tRNA synthetases). tRNAs cope with the degeneracy of the genetic code in two manners: having more than one tRNA (with a specific anti-codon) for a particular amino acid; and 'wobble' base-pairing, i.e. permitting non-standard base-pairing at the 3rd anti-codon position.
Source: Rfam by way of RNAcentral